AAUGUCCUUGCUCUCAGUACCGCAAGGAGAACAUUCUAGACGGAAAAACAACGAUCCAUUAAAAGACGGCUACUGAUUUCAACCAAAUAAAAGAGAACGGAAACAUUCUGGACAUCCUAUCAGAUGAGUUGGCAGUGAGAGAACCGAAACAGAGCAAUAAGACUGCACGGCUACAUGUUCCCAGUGCCACCAACUGGGAGUGGGUGACGGAUCACCCCCACCAGCUGGCUCAUGCCACAAUUAACAAAGUUGCUACUACCGGUACACCUGCAAAGUUUAAUGGAAAAAUCUGUCAGUGUUAUGACGGCACUGUCGCCAGGAUCACAGGGACGAGGAGAAGGGAGCCGACUUUGGCUGAAGGUGGAUCGGCAA
This is a long non-coding RNA of Echinops telfairi (small Madagascar hedgehog), 372 nucleotides long. RefSeq lists it as uncharacterized. Lineage: Eukaryota; Metazoa; Chordata; Mammalia; Afrosoricida; Tenrecidae. The transcript is spliced from 3 exons. The record is from RefSeq and is a predicted model, not a curated record.